This is a long non-coding RNA of Hyla sarda, 513 nucleotides long. RefSeq lists it as uncharacterized. The record is from RefSeq and is a predicted model, not a curated record. NCBI's taxonomy places the organism in Eukaryota, Metazoa, Chordata, Amphibia, Anura, Hylidae. The transcript is spliced from 4 exons.
GUUAUGAUAAAUCUCCCCCAGUAUGUCUACAAUAAGGGCCAGAAAGCAUCCUGGAGCCCAAGUAAAUUAAUGCAGAUAUCUUCUAAUGUAGAAAACCAUAAGCACUGGCGUCCUAUGACAGGAUUUUAGGUUCUGUGGAGACAAGUUUUAAAGAGGAGAAAUCUUCAUGAUGCCCAGGACAGAUGGAGAAAUAAGAUAGAGUGAAUGACACUGAUCAAAGACGACAUCACCUGUGGUUCACUGGAUGCAACUGUGGGAUGGAAGUUUGGUGACGUAUUUUUGUAACAAGAUAUCAACGUACUGGGAUAAAUUGCUUGUGAUGGACUGAAUACCGGAUAUUAUUGGACGGCCUGGGUGGUUCUUCUGAUCCUUAUGAAUUUGGGAUGCCGUCGGUAUAGUGAAAAUGAUGUGGCUUCUGAACCAGAGAGAGGUUGUAACCAGAAAGGUCGAACCGCCCAAGUUGUUUAUGCCAGGCCAUGGAGAGACUGUGACAAGACAAGAAAAGUCUGCCAA